RNAcentral lists this long non-coding RNA (422 nucleotides) under Olea europaea (common olive). RNAcentral's name for it is "long non-coding RNA (OEUR_LNC001439)". The record is from RNAcentral. Lineage: Eukaryota; Viridiplantae; Streptophyta; Magnoliopsida; Lamiales; Oleaceae.
UAAAACGUCUAAAAUGGCCAUAAUAAUGGUUGCUUGAACUUGUGAAGGGAAACACUUCAGGAUAAACUCCUCGGGUUUCUUCAGAAAUUCCUCCUUUUCGGUGUCGUUUGGAUCUUCUGUAGGCAUAUUCGUUCUAGUAAUGGUAGGCCGGUUUGGAAAAUAUCCUGCAAAAUCGUAUUGACCAAAGUUUACAGCAGCAUGGUGUCCUGAAGCUACCCAAAUAAUGGUUGUGAGGAUUCCUAUUAGAUCACCCGGAGUUUCUAACACCGGCCACCAGGACUCGUCCUUCUUGUCUGCAUGGCCUUUUGUUCGAAUUUCAGUCCACCAUUCUUGGAGUUCAACGUCAGAUUGUACAAGGUUUGCUUCUGGAUAGUAGUAAGUGACAUAGUCUGUAACCCAUUUCUUAAUGGCAUCCCAAAUAA